CGCGGGCAAAAAAUCCAAUGGC
RNAcentral lists this microRNA (22 nucleotides) under bovine alphaherpesvirus 1. RNAcentral's name for it is "bhv1-miR-B8-5p". Its record names the gene bhv1-miR-B8-5p. Lineage: Duplodnaviria; Heunggongvirae; Peploviricota; Herviviricetes; Herpesvirales; Orthoherpesviridae. The record is from miRBase by way of RNAcentral.